Long non-coding RNA from Phalaenopsis equestris, 823 nucleotides. RefSeq lists it as uncharacterized. The record is from RefSeq and is a predicted model, not a curated record. NCBI's taxonomy places the organism in Eukaryota, Viridiplantae, Streptophyta, Magnoliopsida, Asparagales, Orchidaceae. The transcript has 3 exons.
UCUCCCUCCUCGUUCUGCAGAAAGGAAAGGAAAACGGGGAAGCGGAGAGAGGGGCCUCUGCGUUAUGAAGAAGCGGAGAGGACCUAUCUUCUCCAUAUCUUCGAGUGAGAGAGGAGACAAUGACGAAUCAGAUUGAAGAUGGGCGGCGGAAGAAGAUCAACAACAAGAACUUCAAUUCCUGAGAGAUGUGCGAGAGGAAGCGAAGCGUCAAAAUAUUUACUGAAAUGCAGAAUGUGCCAUUCGACCUGCGGCCCGCGUUUAACAUAAAAUCUAAACGAUUUUUUUACAGCGGCUGCCCGAACGCUGAAUCCAAACAGUAAGACAGCGUUUUCAAAACAUCACGAUUUUGGGAUGUGAAUCUCAGCUCUUCGCUUUUCUCUUUAGUCCAGUAAGACAUGUGGGAAGAUGCAUGCAUGGCUGCUCUUCUCUUGCGACAUGCACCAAACUUUUGCCUAUAAUUAAGGUACCAGUCCAGCAGAAAAGAUAAAAAUGGGGUCUUGCAAAUUGUCCAACCUUGGACCAUCAGCACUUUUGAUUUCCCAGAACGUUCGCCCCGCUCUGUUGGCCUUUAAAAGGGAAAGAGAGGAGCAGAAUACGAGAGAAAAGAGCUUGGAAGAUGAAAGGAGUUGGUAACAAGAUAAGGUGGUAGCAGUCGGUCUGUCUAUAUCACCACGUAGUAUGGCUCAUGUACCAGAUAAGGGACAAAUGCUGGAGCGGAGCGGAGUGAAAGCAUCCGUCCAAUUGAGGGAGUUUCGUUAAGUGGUUUGGGGGUGCGGGGGCAACGAUCUCGCUGUACGUUACAGGGUAAGUGUGUGUGUGUGUG